AUUGAACGCUGGCGGCAUGCCUUACACAUGCAAGUCGAACGGCAGCACGGGGGCAACCCUGGUGGCGAGUGGCGAACGGGUGAGUAACAUAUCGGAACAUACCCUAGAGUGGGGGAUAACGUAGCGAAAGUUACGCUAAUACCGCAUACGAUCUAAGGAUGAAAGUGGGGGAUCUUCGGACCUCAUGCUCAUGGAGUGGCCGAUAUCUGAUUAGCUAGUUGGUGAGGUAAAGGCUCACCAAGGCGACGAUCAGUAGCUGGUUUGAGAGAACGACCAGCCACACUGGAACUGAGACACGGUCCAGACUCCUACGGGAGGCAGCAGUGGGGAAUUUU
Molecule: ribosomal RNA, 335 nt
Filed under: uncultured bacterium
Lineage: Bacteria
Description: bacterial SSU rRNA
Rfam family: Bacterial small subunit ribosomal RNA
Source: RNAcentral